Molecule: non-coding RNA, 569 nt
Organism: Arachis ipaensis
Lineage: Eukaryota; Viridiplantae; Streptophyta; Magnoliopsida; Fabales; Fabaceae
Source: RefSeq, a predicted model, not a curated record
AAAGGUGCCCGUCCAUAUUAGAUCCCACCACAAGUUCUUGGAGAAUUGAUGAGACGUUGGGACACUGAUGCCUAUAGACAAUUAUAGGCGAGAAAUAUAGCUGCCAAGGAAAUCGAUUCGAGGUACCUCUCUUCACACUGCAGGAGGCACCACCUUUCCAGAAGUGAGGUUACGCUUGAAUCAUUCACUUGGAAGACCAUCAUGUAUGGAUGAGUUUUUUUAGCACACUCAUACUCGCAAAGAGGAUAGGACUCAAUGGGUUGAUGAACACUCUCGAAAGACAAAGGAUAUAUUUCAAGAGCGUAUGUUUCAAGCUGAGCAAGAGCGGUAGGCUGCUAUAGAGGCUGGUGUAACUGAUCUACCACCUAUCUCUGAGGAAAGCAUAUGGAUUGAGACAGUGGGUGAAAAACGAAAAGGUAGGGUAUAUGGCAUGGGUGAGGUAAGGGAUUUUUCCAUGGUACGACCUCGAGUUGAUGGGCCAACCACGACCACCAGCACUGAUGUUUUGGAUCUUAGAGAACGAGUCACAAUACUCAAUAGGAAAGUUGAACAACAUGCCGCUAAAUAUA